UACGUAGGGGGCUAGCGUUGUCCGGAAUCAUUGGGCGUAAAGCGCGUGUAGGCGGUUCGAUAAGUCUGCUGUGAAAGUCCAGGGCUCAACCCUGGGAUGCCGGUGGAUACUGUCGGGCUAGAGUACGGAAGAGGCGAGUGGAAUUCCCGGUGUAGCGGUGAAAUGCGCAGAUAUCGGGAGGAACACCAAUUGCGAAGGCAGCUCGCUGGGACGUUACUGACGCUGAGACGCGAAAGCGUGGGGAGCAAACAGG
Molecule: ribosomal RNA, 253 nt
Filed under: uncultured bacterium
Lineage: Bacteria
Description: partial 16S ribosomal RNA
Rfam family: Bacterial small subunit ribosomal RNA
Source: RNAcentral